This 264-nucleotide ribosomal RNA is filed under the name uncultured bacterium. RNAcentral describes it as "partial 16S ribosomal RNA". It matches the Rfam family "Bacterial small subunit ribosomal RNA", at positions 793 to 1055 of the family's 1533-position model. The record is from RNAcentral.
GUCCACGCCGUAAACGAUGGAUGCUAGCCGUCGGCAAGCUUGCUUGUCGGUGGCGCAGCUAACGCAUUAAGCAUCCCGCCUGGGGAGUACGGCCGCAAGGUUAAAACUCAAAGGAAUUGACGGGGGCCCGCACAAGCGGUGGAGCAUGUGGUUUAAUUCGACGCAACGCGAAGAACCUUACCAAGCCUUGACAUGUCCGGACGGUUUCCAGAAAUGGGAUCCUCCCAGCAAUGGGUCGGAACACAGGUGCUGCAUGGCUGUCGU